Molecule: ribosomal RNA, 478 nt
Filed under: uncultured bacterium
Lineage: Bacteria
Description: partial 16S ribosomal RNA
Rfam family: Bacterial small subunit ribosomal RNA
Source: RNAcentral
UGGGGAAUUUUGGACAAUGGGCGCAAGCCUGAUCCAGCCAUGCCGCGUGCGGGAAGAAGGCCUUCGGGUUGUAAACCGCUUUUGUCAGGGAAGAAAUCUUCUGAGUUAAUACCUCGGGAGGAUGACGGUACCUGAAGAAUAAGCACCGGCUAACUACGUGCCAGCAGCCGCGGUAAUACGUAGGGUGCAAGCGUUAAUCGGAAUUACUGGGCGUAAAGCGUGCGCAGGCGGUUUUGUAAGACAGAGGUGAAAUCCCCGGGCUCAACCUGGGAACUGCCUUUGUGACUGCAAGGCUUGAGUGCGGCAGAGGGGGGAUGGAAUUCCGCGUGUAGCAGUGAAAUGCGUAGAUAUGCGGAGGAACACCGAUGGCGAAGGCAAUCCCCUGGGCCUGCACUGACGCUCAUGCACGAAAGCGUGGGGAGCAAACAGGAUUAGAUACCCUGGUAGUCCACGCCCUAAAACGAUGUCAACUGGGUUG